This 353-nucleotide long non-coding RNA is filed under the name Sus scrofa (pig). RNAcentral's name for it is "lncRNA (ENSSSCG00055014902.1)". The record is from RNAcentral. Lineage: Eukaryota; Metazoa; Chordata; Mammalia; Artiodactyla; Suidae.
GGCAAAGGAACUGACAUUGAAGACCAAGAUUUGGAGAAGUUUAAAGAGGUGACAAGAGAGAACGGGAUUCCAGAAGAAAAUAUUGUGAACAUCAUCGAAAGAGAUGACUGUCCUGCCAAGUGAAUCAAAAGCGACUUCGACAUCAUCAAACUGAUGCAACACGAAGAACCAGGCAUUGCCAUUGCUCCAUGGAAUCAAUACCAAUGACCCACAUGCCUGGUUCCUGCCUCUUAUAAUCCUGCUCUGCCCAUGAUUAUCCCACGUCCUCUCUCCUCAUCCCUUAAUCACAUCCUCUGGGGUGGUCCUUGACUUCGGAAGGUUCAAAUAAAGGGAAUUCAUGCAGACCUGGGCAA